CAGCAGCCGCGGGAAUACGUAGGUGGCAAGCGUCGUCCGGAAUUAUUGGGCGUAAAGGGCUCGCAGGCGGUUUCUUAAGUCUGAUGUGAAAGCCCCCGGCUCAACCGGGGAGGGUCAUUGGAAACUGGGAAACUUGAGUGCAGAAGAGGAGAGUGGAAUUCCACGUGUAGCGGUGAAAUGCGUAGAGAUGUGGAGGAACACCAGUGGCGAAGGCGACUCUCUGGUCUGUAACUGACGCUGAGGAGCGAAAGCGUGGGGAGCGAACAGGAUUAGAUACCCGAGUAGUCCCUGUCUCUUAUAC
RNAcentral lists this ribosomal RNA (301 nucleotides) under uncultured bacterium. RNAcentral's name for it is "partial 16S ribosomal RNA". It matches the Rfam family "Bacterial small subunit ribosomal RNA", at positions 509 to 807 of the family's 1533-position model. The record is from RNAcentral.